RNAcentral lists this ribosomal RNA (484 nucleotides) under uncultured bacterium. Its description in RNAcentral is "partial 16S ribosomal RNA". It matches the Rfam family "Bacterial small subunit ribosomal RNA", at positions 30 to 507 of the family's 1533-position model. The record is from RNAcentral.
AUUGAACGCUGGCGGCAGGCCUAACACAUGCAAGUCGAGCGGAUGAAGGGAGCUUGCUCCUGGAUUCAGCGGCGGACGGGUGAGUAAUGCCUAGGAAUCUGCCUGGUAGUGGGGGAUAACGUCCGGAAACGGGCGCUAAUACCGCAUACGUCCUGAGGGAGAAAGUGGGGGAUCUUCGGACCUCACGCUAUCAGAUGAGCCUAGGUCGGAUUAGCUAGUUGGUGGGGUAAAGGCCUGCCAAGGCGACGAUCCGUAACUGGUCUGAGAGGAUGAUCAGUCACACUGGAACUGAGACACGGUCCAGACUCCUACGGGAGGCAGCAGUGGGGAAUAUUGGACAAUGGGCGAAAGCCUGAUCCAGCCAUGCCGCGUGUGUGAAGAAGAUCUUCGGAUUGUAAAGCACUUUAAGUUGGGAGGAAGGGCAGUAAGUUAAUACCUUGCUGUUUUGACGUUACCAACAGAAUAAGCACCGGCUAACUUCGUG